UGCUUUACGGCACAGACACACCCCCAAACAUGGCACCGGCUAGAUAUAAACAGCCAGUUGCGAGCAUGGUUGCGAGGCAAUUGUUGUCCGAGGUAGGAAACCCAAACGCCGCCGUGUUUGGAGUUUAGAUUGGGUUAGAUUAAAUAAUCUCGGAUAUAAAUAACGAUCUCAUCUCAUCGUCAUCCGUUUAUCCGGGGUCGGGUCGCGGGGGGAGCAGCUCAAGCAGGGGGCUCCAGACUUCCCUUUCCCGGGCCGCAUUGACCAGCUCUGACGGGGGGAUCCCGAGGCGUUCCCAGGCCAGUGUUGAGAUAUAAUCUCUCCACCUAGUCCUGGGUCUUCCCCGAGGUCUCCUCCCCAAUGGACGUGCCUGAAACACCUCCAAAGGGAGGCGCCCAGUAGGCAUCCUUGCCAGAUGCCCGAACCACCUCA
This 429-nucleotide long non-coding RNA is filed under the name Gadus morhua (Atlantic cod). Its description in RNAcentral is "lncRNA (ENSGMOG00000023307.1)". The record is from RNAcentral. Lineage: Eukaryota; Metazoa; Chordata; Actinopteri; Gadiformes; Gadidae.